RNAcentral lists this ribosomal RNA (493 nucleotides) under uncultured bacterium. RNAcentral describes it as "partial 16S ribosomal RNA". It matches the Rfam family "Bacterial small subunit ribosomal RNA", at positions 29 to 523 of the family's 1533-position model. The record is from RNAcentral.
AUUGAACGCUGGCGGCAGGCUUUACACAUGCAAGUCGAACGGUAACAGGUUAAGCUGACGAGUGGCGAACGGGUGAGUCAUGCAUCGGAACGUGCCCGGUCGUGGGGGAUAACGCAGAGAAAGCUGUGCUGAUACCGCAUACGAACUACGGAUGAAAGCGGGGGACCGUAAGGCCUCGCGCCCUCGGAGCGGCCGAUGUCAGAUUAGGUAGUUGGUGGGGUAAAGGCUCACCAAGCCAACGAUCUGUAGCUGGUCUGAGAGGACGACCAGCCACACUGGGACUGAGACACGGCCCAGACUCCUACGGGAGGCAGCAGUGGGGAAUUUUGGACAAUGGGCGAAAGCCUGAUCCAGCAAUGCCGCGUGCAGGAAGAAGGCCUUCGGGUUGUAAACUGCUUUUGGACGGAGCGAAAAGGUCUCCUCUAAUACAUGGGGCUCAUGACGGUACCGUAAGAAUAAGCACCGGCUAACUACGUGCCAGCCGCCGCCGUAA